This 820-nucleotide long non-coding RNA is filed under the name Carassius auratus (goldfish). RNAcentral's name for it is "lncRNA (ENSCARG00000041064.1)". Lineage: Eukaryota; Metazoa; Chordata; Actinopteri; Cypriniformes; Cyprinidae. The record is from RNAcentral.
AUAUUUCUGUAAUAUUAGCAAAGGUUCAGCAAAACAGAAGUCUGAUCAUUUUUUUCAGCCUAUUAAAUUUUUUUUUUUUUUUUAUUAUGGCUUUCAAAUAUAAUCAUCAAUCCCUAUUCUCAGCCAUUUUAUCCUUAGAAAUAAAAAAUAAAUGCCCAUUUCACAGGUCUUGGUUGCCUUUUAUUAUUUGCAUUUGUCAUUGCUUCUCUCUGCUAUCUGCAAUCAUAAUAAUCUGAAAAAAAAUUUGGACACAUAAAAAAAAAUAUAAAAAUAUAUAUUGAAAUAAAAAAACCUGUGACAAAUGAAUUAAUAAUUACUAAUGUAUGAACUUUACAAAGUAAAUCUCUCUUCUUCACAGAAAAUAAAACUUUUACUCUGAUAUAGAUGUUUGAAAACGCUGGUCCCCAGACAGUAGGACUAUGAUUUUAUUGUUCACUGGUGAGACACUGAGGUUGUAACAGAUGGAAAUACAUAAUUAAUAGGCACUGGCUCAAUGCAUAAAUGAAUCUGUGCUGUUUUUCCUGUCAUGACACCUACAGAGAUUUCCACAAUCCAAUGAAUUAUGAACACAUAAAAGAAGAAGGACAAGAAAAAACAACAUGCCAAAAUGAAUCCAUCAGCCUAAACUGCAUUCAAAAGCGCAGGAACUCACGAUCCUGAAGGGCGACGAGAGCCUCAGAUCUGUCGUGCUGCAUGCGGGGGUGAACGACAUCAGGCUGCGGCAGAUGGAGGUUCUAAAGCAGGACUUAAUCGUGUCUGGACCGCUUAUGAUGUACAGACGAGGAAAUGAAAGGUUCAUAAGAUUAUUUUCUCUAAAUUA